RNAcentral lists this ribosomal RNA (467 nucleotides) under uncultured bacterium. Its description in RNAcentral is "partial 16S ribosomal RNA". It matches the Rfam family "Bacterial small subunit ribosomal RNA", at positions 28 to 507 of the family's 1533-position model. The record is from RNAcentral.
GACGAACGCUGGCGGCGUGCUUAACACAUGCAAGUCGAACGAUGACGACCGAGCUUGCUCGGUCUGAUUAGUGGCGAACGGGUGAGUAACACGUGAGCAACCUGCCCUUCACUCUGGGAUAACUUCGGGAAAUCGGGGCUAAUACCGGAUAUGAGCUCCUGUCGCAUGGCGGCUGUUGGAAAGUUUUUGGGUGAAGGAUGGGCUCGAGGCGUUUCAGUUUGUUGGUGAGGUAUUGGCUCACCAAGGCGAUGACGGGUAGCCGGCCUGAGAGGGCGAGCGGCCAGACUGGGACUGAGACACGGCCCAGACUCCUACGGGAGGCAGCAGUGGGGAAUAUUGCACAAUGGGAGAAAGCCUGAUGCAGCGACGCCGCGUGAGGGAUGACGGCCUUCGGGUUGUAAACCACUUUCAGCAGGGAAGAAGCGAAAGUGACGGUACCUGAAGAAGAAGCGCCGGCUAACUACGUG